AGACAGGACAGAAAGUCAAAGAGAAGAAAGGGAAGGUCCUCGUUUUAAAGGGAUAAUGAACUAAUAUUUUUUUUUACACAACACAGGCCAACGACAGAGAGACGUUAGCACCCCAAAAUGUACAACGAGGGUCAGUAACAUGAACAGCGGGCGGGAUUCGUACUCAAGGAAUAUGGACGGCGGGAGCGAGCGUUGGUCCCAGCAGCCGGAGAGCUCUCAGGACUGGGGGACGCAGCUCUUCUGUUCACAGGACUCUCAGCGUCACCAGCAUAGGGCGCCUCAGCCUUUCCUCAUGAGCAGCAGCCAGGGG
This is a long non-coding RNA of Penaeus monodon (black tiger shrimp), 310 nucleotides long. RefSeq lists it as uncharacterized. Lineage: Eukaryota; Metazoa; Arthropoda; Malacostraca; Decapoda; Penaeidae. The record is from RefSeq and is a predicted model, not a curated record. The transcript has 3 exons.